GCAAACUUGGUCAUUUAGAGGAAGUAAAAGUCGUAACAAGGUUUCCGUAGGUGAACCUGCGGAAGGAUCAUUAAAAAAGAUCGAACCAAAAAACAUAUGGACGAUCAAAAUCCAUAUCCACCUUGUGUGCACUCAUUGACCGUUCGCUUUGGCAGGAGUUUGGUCUUUUUGAUCCCGGUUCUGGGAUCUCGAAGCGCCGCGAAGGGGGUGUUUGGGAGGACCCCUCCCACACCCUCGGCCUGCCAGAGUUUUUUUUCAAGAUCCACACUUUUUUAAACCUUUUGGACUGAACCCUCGUCUCGAUUCUUUGUGUAAUCGGUCGAAUCUAAUACAACUUUCAACAACGGAUCUCUUGGCUCUCGCAUCGAUGAAGAACGCAGC
This 381-nucleotide unclassified non-coding RNA is filed under the name uncultured fungus. RNAcentral describes it as "partial contains small subunit ribosomal RNA, internal transcribed spacer 1, and 5.8S ribosomal RNA". The stretch from base 1 to 73 matches the Rfam family "Eukaryotic small subunit ribosomal RNA", at positions 1759 to 1831 of the family's 1831-position model. The record is from RNAcentral. Lineage: Eukaryota; Fungi.